Molecule: ribosomal RNA, 204 nt
Filed under: uncultured bacterium
Lineage: Bacteria
Description: partial 16S ribosomal RNA
Rfam family: Bacterial small subunit ribosomal RNA
Source: RNAcentral
CGUGUAGGCGGUCGGCCAAGUCUGAUGUGAAAGCCCGGGGCUCAGCCUCGGAAGUGCGUCGGAAACUAGUCGGCUGGAGCGCGAUAGAGGAGGGUGGAAUUCCUGGUGUAGCGGUGAAAUGCGUAGAUAUCAGGAGGAACACCGGCGGCGAAGGCGGCCCUCUGGAUCGUUGCUGACGCUGAGAGCGAAAGCGUGGGAGCAACA